AUCAAAGCAUGCGCACGUCAUAAAUUUCGUAAAAAGCAUAAUAAAUAAAAUGGAAAUAAUAACAUUUUUAUUACACUGCAAUGAAGGACGAAGAACGAGCCAGUGAAGCGCGUGGCCAAAAAGGAGGCAACAGGAAGCAGGCAGAGGCAGCCACCAGAAAGCACCUUCUAAUACUUUCGAAUGGCAAAAGUUUUUUGGGCAGAAACACCGCGUCUCGGCUUUCCGUUCCAUCCGUCGACUGUUUGUUGGCUUUUAAUGAUGCCAUCAUAAAUUAUUACAUUGCUAUUUCGUUUUUAUUGUUUCACCCGCGAUUGAGCAGCUGGAGAGAAUCCUGCCAAUGCCGGAGCAAAACUCUUGAGCGGUGAGAAACAAACCAGGCUAAACGCAAUUAUUAUUACUUUUAAAGCAUUUUUUAUGCUCCUUUAUUUUGGCAGCCACACGAUUUUGCUAUUAACAAACGAGGAACGAGACUCUGUCCCUCUCUUUGUAUAACAAUCUUUUGGCCAGAAAAAGAAAGCAAAACUUCACUUCAGAGUUUAUUAUGAUUUUUAUGGAUAUAAAAAUAUAGGCCGUACAGAACACACACCCACACCCAUUUGCUUUUCCCUAAGAUGUCCUGCGCACGUGCAAUGGCUCCAAUGGUUUCCACCUGGAGUCCUGGAGUCGCCACCACCUGUGAGAUUUGCUGCCUCAGCAUUUUCCACGAAAAACUCUCCACUCAUUUCGGCCGACCAUAUUGACGACGCGACGCGGUGAGCGGCUGCGGAAAUUGUUAAAACUGUAAUUGCUAAACGAAUUUUAAUGAGCUCAUUAAUUUGAUAAAGGGAUUUACACGGUGUUGCGGUUGGGUGUGUCAGGGGGAGCACGGCCAGCAGCUAGCGGCCAAACAGCCAGCAGUCCUGGCUCUGGUCCUGCGCUGCUGACGAUGUCCUCAUUCUGUGUUCUGUUCUCUGACCAAAUGUUGCCAUGCGGUUAACUUCAGUUUCUGUCUCUCCCUCCCACUCUCUAUCUCUCUAUGUUUGCCUCCCCGCUGAGGGCAUUGCUGUUGGCAUUAAUUAAAAUUUGCUUCAAAUUAUAUUCCAGAGUUUUUCUACCACCCCCCACAGCUGCUGGGCAAAC
This 1119-nucleotide long non-coding RNA is filed under the name Drosophila guanche. Lineage: Eukaryota; Metazoa; Arthropoda; Insecta; Diptera; Drosophilidae. The record is from RNAcentral.